UCCUGACUGACCGAUAGUGAACCAGUACCGUGAGGGAAAGGCGAAAAGAACCCCGGCGAGGGGAGUGAAAAAGAACCUGAAACCGUGUACGUACAAGCAGUGGGAGCACGCUUAGGCGUGUGACUGCGUACCUUUUGUAUAAUGGGUCAGCGACUUAUAUUCUGUAGCAAGGUUAACCGAAUAGGGGAGCCGAAGGGAAACCGAGUCUUAACUGGGCGUUAAGUUGCAGGGUAUAGACCCGAAACCCGGUGAUCUAGCCAUGGGCAGGUUGAAGGUUGGGUAACACUAACUGGAGGACCGAACCGACUAAUGUUGAAAAAUUAGCGGAUGACUUGUGGCUGGGGGUGAAAGGCCAAUCAAACCGGGAGAUAGCUGGUUCUCCCCGAAAGCUAUUUAGGUAGCGCCUCGUGAAUUCAUCUCCGGGGGUAGAGCACUGUUUCGGCAAGGGGGUCAUCCCGACUUACCAACCCGAUGCAAACUGCGAAUACCGGAGAAUGUUAUCACGGGAGACACACGGCGGGUGCUAACGUCCGUCGUGAAGAGGGAAACAACCCAGACCGCCAGCUAAGGUCCCAAAGUCAUGGUUAAGUGGGAAACGAUGUGGGAAGGCCCAGACAGCCAGGAUGUUGGCUUAGAAGCAGCCAUCAUUUAAAGAAAGCGUAAUAGCUCACUGGUCGAGUCGGCCUGCGCGGAAGAUGUAACGGGGCUAAACCAUGCACCGAAGCUGCGGCAGCGACGCUUAUGCGUUGUUGGGUAGGGGAGCGUUCUGUAAGCCUGCGAAGGUGUGCUGUGAGGCAUGCUGGAGGUAUCAGAAGUGCGAAUGCUGACAUAAGUAACGAUAAAGCGGGUGAAAAGCCCGCUCGCCGGAAGACCAAGGGUUCCUGUCCAACGUUAAUCGGGGCAGGGUGAGUCGACCCCUAAGGCGAGGCCGAAAGGCGUAGUCGAUGGGAAACAGGUUAAUAUUCCUGUACUUGGUGUUACUGCGAAGGGGGGACGGAGAAGGCUAUGUUGGCCGGGCGACGGUUGUCCCGGUUUAAGCGUGUAGGCUGGUUUUCCAGGCAAAUCCGGAAAAUCAAGGCUGAGGCGUGAUGACGAGGCACUACGGUGCUGAAGCAACAAAUGCCCUGCUUCCAGGAAAAGCCUCUAAGCAUCAGGUAACAUCAAAUCGUACCCCAAACCGACACAGGUGGUCAGGUAGAGAAUACCAAGGCGCUUGAGAGAACUCGGGUGAAGGAACUAGGCAAAAUGGUGCCGUAACUUCGGGAGAAGGCACGCUGAUAUGUAGGUGAAGUCCCUUGCGGAUGGAGCUGAAAUCAGUCGAAGAUACCAGCUGGCUGCAACUGUUUAUUAAAAACACAGCACUGUGCAAACACGAAAGUGGACGUAUACGGUGUGACGCCUGCCCGGUGCCGGAAGGUUAAUUGAUGGGGUCAGCGCAAGCGAAGCUCUUGAUCGAAGCCCCGGUAAACGGCGGCCGUAACUAUAACGGUCCUAAGGUAGCGAAAUUCCUUGUCGGGUAAGUUCCGACCUGCACGAAUGGCGUAAUGAUGGCCAGGCUGUCUCCACCCGAGACUCAGUGAAAUUGAACUCGCUGUGAAGAUGCAGUGUACCCGCGGCAAGACGGAAAGACCCCGUGAACCUUUACUAUAGCUUGACACUGAACAUUGAGCCUUGAUGUGUAGGAUAGGUGGGAGGCUUUGAAGUGUGGACGCCAGUCUGCAUGGAGCCGGCCUUGAAAUACCACCCUUUAAUGUUUGAUGUUCUAACGUGGACCCGUGAUCCGGGUUGCGGACAGUGUCUGGUGGGUAGUUUGACUGGGGCGGUCUCCUCCUAAAGAGUAACGGAGGAGCACGAAGGUUGGCUAAUCCUGGUCGGACAUCAGGAGGUUAGUGCAAUGGCAUAAGCCAGCUUGACUGCGAGCGUGACGGCGCGAGCAGGUGCGAAAGCAGGUCAUAGUGAUCCGGUGGUUCUGAAUGGAAGGGCCAUCGCUCAACGGAUAAAAGGUACUCCGGGGAUAACAGGCUGAUACCGCCCAAGAGUUCAUAUCGACGGCGGUGUUUGGCACCUCGAUGUCGGCUCAUCACAUCCUGGGGCUGAAGUAGGUCCCAAGGGUAUGGCUGUUCGCCAUUUAAAGUGGUACGCGAGCUGGGUUUAGAACGUCGUGAGACAGUUCGGUCCCUAUCUGCCGUGGGCGCUGGAGAACUGAGGGGGGCUGCUCCUAGUACGAGAGGACCGGAGUGGACGCAUCACUGGUGUUCGGGUUGUCAUGCCAAUGGCACUGCCCGGUAGCUAAAUGCGGAAGAGAUAAGUGCUGAAAGCAUCUAAGCACGAAACUUGCCCCGAGAUGAGUUCUCCCUGACCCUUUAAGGGUCCUGAAGGAACGUUGAAGACGACGACGUUGAUAGGCCGGGUGUGUAAGCGCAGCGAUGCGUUGAGCU
Molecule: ribosomal RNA, 2438 nt
Filed under: Shigella sonnei
Lineage: Bacteria; Pseudomonadati; Pseudomonadota; Gammaproteobacteria; Enterobacterales; Enterobacteriaceae
Description: partial 23S ribosomal RNA
Rfam family: Bacterial large subunit ribosomal RNA
Source: RNAcentral